This 254-nucleotide ribosomal RNA is filed under the name uncultured bacterium. RNAcentral describes it as "partial 16S ribosomal RNA". It matches the Rfam family "Bacterial small subunit ribosomal RNA", at positions 524 to 776 of the family's 1533-position model. The record is from RNAcentral.
UACGAAGGGUGCGAGCGUUAUCCGGAAUCAUUGGGCGUAAAGAGCUCGUAGGCGGUUCAGCAAGUCGGCUGUGGAAGUCCGAGGCUCAACCUCGGAAUUGCAGUCGAUACUGCUGUGACUCGAGUCCGGUAGAGGAGAACGGAAAUCCCGGUGUAGCGGUGAAAUGCGCAGAUAUCGGGAGGAACAGCAGUAGCGAAGGCGGUUCCCUGGGCCGGCACUGACGCUGAGGAGAGAAAGCGUGGGGAGCGAACAGG